GGUUAGAAAUUAGAAUUCAUCUUCUGUCAAAAAUAAAAAUAAACACUUUCAGGAUUUUUUACAUAUUCUAUACUAAAAUUUUUCCAAUUUUUAGUGCUCAACGAUAAGGAAUCUUUUCAUUCCUUUCCUAUUUAUCUCUAUUCAUAAAACGUGAUCAUUUUGGGACUACUUAAAUGUCUACUGAAGAAAGACAACCCUUGCAAAGAACUGAAGAAUUGUUGGGUUCAGAAGGGAUUUUUGUUUGGAGUGCUCUACAAGAAUCAUUAGAAAAUCAAGCUUUGAACGAGCUUAAUGAAUUUGUUAAAGAAACAUCCAAAACUGUAGAGAACAAUUUUGAAGGAAAUGAACCCAAAUCAAAUGACACUACAAUUAUUGAAAAUUAUAUCAGAAAACAAGAAGAACUGAGAAAAAUACAAAUCGAAACAAAAAAAACAAAGACUGCCAAAUUCAAGCAAGAAUCGAGUUUACAGAAUAAUUCGUAUACAAGAAAAAAAAGAAAAAUUUCAGACUGCAAAGAAACAAGAAACAAAAAAGCUAGAUUACCUGCUGGAAAGGACAAUAUCAAACAAUCUACAGUAGAAAAUGAUAGUUCUUGUAGUGAAUAUAUACCAUCAGAGGAAGAUUCAGAUUAUGCAUGUGAUUUUGACAUUAGAGCUCAUAAGUCUGUGAAAAAACACAGAAAUCAACAAAUCAAUAAAAUUGAAAUAAUUAAAGAUGAUGGAUUAUUAGAGGACUAUAAUAAUAGACUGGAUCUUUAUUAUGAACAUUUACAAAAGGAAAAUGAGUUGAAAAGUAUCACAAACUCAGAAAAGAUUUUAUCUGAUGUUAAAUUAGAAUGUGGGUUGAAGGUUCCCGAAAGAUAUUGGAACAAAUUAUAUAAGUAUCAACAAGUAGGAGUUAAAUGGUUGUGGUCACUGCAUCAGAAAUCCUCAGGAGGAUUGCUUGGGGACGAAAUGGGGUUGGGAAAAACAGUUCAAAUUAUUUCAUUUUUGUAUGCAUUGGAUUAUAGUCGCAUUCAUACACCCUUCGGAAACUUUGUUGGUAAAGGACCAACAAUAAUUGUUUGUCCGGCAACUGUAAUACAUCAAUGGGUUCAACAUUUUCAUCAGUGGGCACCUGAAUUUAGAGUGGCUGUUUUACAUCAGUCUGGUAGAUUCCAAGGUAACAAAGCUGUUCUCAUAAAAGACGUAAAUGAAAGUAAUGGAAUUCUUGUUACGACAUAUUUGGGAAUACUGAAAUAUAAAGGAAAUCUGGUGGAUCAUCAUUGGCACUAUCUUGUAUUAGAUGAGGGGCAUAAAAUUAGAAAUGCAACAGCGAAAAUAACUGUAGCUGUCAAACAAAUAAAAACACCUCAUCGAAUUUUGUUGAGUGGUAGUCCCAUGCAAAAUAAUUUACAAGAAUUGUGGAGUCUUUUUGAUUUCACAAAUCCUGGAGUCCUGGGUACACUCAACACUUUCACAGAAUAUUUCAGUAAUCCCAUUAUACAAGGAGGUUUUGCAAAUGCAUCACCCAUGCAGGAAGCUACUGCCCUAUCAGUGGCAACUGCACUGAAAAACUUAAUAUCGCCAUUUCUAUUGAGAAGAAAUAAAGUUGAAGUGCAAGAUGAUAUUGAACUUCCCAACAAGAGUGAACAAGUUCUGUUUUGUUCUUUGAGUGAUCAUCAAAGGAUGCUCUAUAAAGAUUUUUUAAUGAGCGAGCAUAUAUCUGACAUUCUCGGCAGAGGAACAAAAAAUUGGAUCGGAGAUAAAUAUGCGAGAGCAAAAAUUUUUACUGCUAUUGUUUCUUUACGAAAAAUUUGCAAUCACCCUGAUAUAUUCAUCUAUGAUGGGGAGGAAUCAAGUGAUGAGACUCUCAUUGAUAAAGAGGAAAAUAAAAUAGGAUUCUAUAAAAAAUCAGGAAAAAUGAUUGUAGUGUCAGCUCUCCUAAAAAUAUGGAAGAAACAAAAACAUCGGGUACUAUUAUUUUCUCAAGGGAGAGCUAUGAUCAAAAUUUUUGAACAGUUCCUACAUGAGGAAGAUUAUAAGUUCUUGAAGAUGGAUGGUUCCACACCAAUCAGCUCAAGACAAAAAUUAAUAAAUAAGUUUAAUGAAGAUGAAACAUAUGAUGUCUUCCUAUUGACUACCAAAGUUGGUGGACUAGGUGUGAAUCUCACAGGUGCUAAUAGGGUUAUUAUUUAUGAUCCUGAUUGGAAUCCUGCUACAGAUACACAGGCAAGGGAAAGGGCAUGGAGAAUUGGCCAAAACAAACAGGUCACCAUAUACAGAUUGAUCUCAGCUGGUACCAUUGAAGAAAAAAUUUAUCAGCGUCAAAUUUGGAAGCAACUGCUAAGUAAUAAAAUAUUAGUAGAUCCCAAAACUCAUAGAGCGUUUAAGUCUUCUGAUUUAUUCGAUUUAUUUUCUUUACAAGAACCCAUGGGUGAUUCCAAUCCAGAAACAACGAAUAUUUUUCACGAUUCAAGGGUAAAAAUACAAGAAAGACUAUUGAAAAAAAGGAAAAAAGAACCACUGGAUAUGAGUAACAAAAUUGUUUUUUCUGAAGAUAAAAAAGAAAAAAUGCAAUUAUUGGCCCAACAGCUAGCAAAAAAUAUUACAAAACUUGAAGGCAAUAGAACUUCAUAUGAGAAACAUUUGGAAGAGGAACGUUCUGAGAGGUUGAAAAAGAAAAAAGAACUACAGGAUUUUUCUGCACCCGAACUUCUUGAGCUUAAUCGUAAAAAAGGCGAGGCAACAGUUGAUGAUAAUACCAAUAAAAUAGAUGGUAGUGAAACAUCUUGUAGUUUUUCUAAAGCUUUGGAUAUUGCUGAAACUAAAGCUGAGCUCCUCCAUAAAUUGAUUGAUGGAAAACUAGAUAUUAAAGUACUGGAGGAUAAAUUGAAUAGGGAAAAAAAAGAAAGGGAAAAGAAUGCAAGUGUAAUAAAAAAACAAAAAAAUGAAGUGGAAGGCAGAAAGAAGGGUGAAAAGAAAAAAUUAAUAAUAGAUGAAAGUGGUAAAAUUGAUGGGGAAACGGUAGAAGGAUUAGUGAAAGUUGAGAAAAAAAAAUUGAAACGGAAUGAUGCAAACCGAGAUAUAAAAGAAGACGACUUCAUACUCAGCAAAUUGUUUAAUAAGAAAGCACGGAAGAGUAUGCCGAUAUCAUAUUGAUUUAUGGUUAUGCAAAAGAAACGCAUGCGCGUCAGAGCGAGAAUAUCAAGAAAGAUAAACACUUCGUCAUACACCGCAAGACAAAGUUUUCAGAGAAGGUUUUUGAGGAUUACGAGUAGCAGGUAAUCCUGCUCCAGCAAAAGCUAUUCGGCCACAUGUAAUAAAUGUAGAGCAGAAAGAAGCUGUUAUUUAUUCUGUUACUGUCGAUCCUUUCACUAGUACUAGGAGAAUAGCAUACAUUUUGGAUGAGUAUCUGGAGCCUUAGAACACGAUUCAGUUAUGAAGGGACAUGUUAGGAAGAAUAACUUGAGAAUUUCCAUGACAGCUAAUUUGGAAGCUGAAAAAGCCAUUCAGGCUAUCACAAAA
This is an RNA transcript of Harmonia axyridis, 3506 nucleotides long. It is a transcript of the gene named DNA excision repair protein ERCC-6-like, with no coding region annotated. The transcript has 11 exons. The record is from RefSeq and is a predicted model, not a curated record. NCBI's taxonomy places the organism in Eukaryota, Metazoa, Arthropoda, Insecta, Coleoptera, Coccinellidae.